RNAcentral lists this long non-coding RNA (524 nucleotides) under Rattus norvegicus (Norway rat). RNAcentral describes it as "long non-coding RNA NONRATT003495". Lineage: Eukaryota; Metazoa; Chordata; Mammalia; Rodentia; Muridae. The record is from RNAcentral.
UAUUCCUUUUCUUUUUGCGUUUCCUCUUCGUGGGAGAAGCCUGAGGCAGCCGGGGAGAGGGUCCCCAGAUCCCCCUGCAGGGAGAGGGCCGCACCCUCCUCCCGGGCCUUCCCGGGAGGAGCAGCUGGCAGUGGGGCGCGGUGCCUGGACUGGGUGCUCAGACGUAAUACUCUUUGUCUUUGUUCUUCUUGGCCUUGCUGGGCGUCUUGGGGGCAGCGGGGGCCUUCUCCUUCACCACUGCCCCAUUGCUCUGGGCCGAGUUACUGAUGUAAUUCCGGCUCUGGUCCACUUGGUAGGAGCCCUCGUCGCGGUUGCGGUACUUGUACAUGGCGUAGAGAAGGAUAAGGAUGCAGAGCGCCGCCGCCGCCACGAUGCCCACCACCAUGCCCGUGGUGCUGCUGGAUUCGCGGAUCACUUCCACCGCGCCCGGCGGGCCGCGCUCCCCCGGACCCGUGGGGUUGGCUGUGGGCAGACGGGGGAAACCGGGGACUGAGGUCACGCCGGGGCGCAGGGGAGGCGGCCGC